Molecule: unclassified non-coding RNA, 292 nt
Filed under: uncultured fungus
Lineage: Eukaryota; Fungi
Description: sequence contains ITS1
Source: RNAcentral
GGACUACAAGGGUUUCUAAUCCUGUUUGCUCCCCACGCUUUCGAGCCUCAGCGUCAGUAAUGAGCCAGUAUGUCGCCUUCGCCACUGGUGUUCUUCCGAAUAUCUACGAAUUUCACCUCUACACUCGGAGUUCCACAUACCUCUCUCAUACUCAAGACACCCAGUAUCAAAGGCAAUUCCGAGGUUGAGCCCCGGGAUUUCACCCCUGACUUAAAUGUCCGCCUACGCUCCCUUUACGCCCAGUAAUUCCGAGCAACGCUAGCCCCCUUCGUAUUACCGCGGCUGCUGGCAC